UAGGGAAUCUUCCGCAAUGGGCGAAAGCUUGACGGAGCAACGCCGCGUGAGUGAUGAAGGUCUUCGGAUCGUAAAACUCUGUUAUUAGGGAAGAACACAUGUGUAAGUAACUAUGCACGUCUUGACGGUACCUAAUCAGAAAGCCACGGCUAACUACGUGCCAGCAGCCGCGGUAAUACGUAGGUGGCAAGCGUUAUCCGGAAUUAUUGGGCGUAAAGCGCGCGUAGGCGGUUAUUUAAGUCUGAUGUGAAAGCCCACGGCUCAACCGUGGAGGGUCAUUGGAUACUGGAAAUCUUGAGUGCAGAAGAGGAAAGUGGAAUUCCAUGUGUAGCGGUGAAAUGCGCAGAGAUAUGAAGGAACACCAGUGGCGAAGGCGACUUUCUGGUCUGUAACUGACGCUGAUGUGCGAAAGCGUGGGGAUCAAACAGG
This 429-nucleotide ribosomal RNA is filed under the name Actinomycetes bacterium. RNAcentral's name for it is "Actinobacteria bacterium partial 16S ribosomal RNA". It matches the Rfam family "Bacterial small subunit ribosomal RNA", at positions 355 to 776 of the family's 1533-position model. Lineage: Bacteria; Bacillati; Actinomycetota; Actinomycetes. The record is from RNAcentral.